UACGUAGGGUGCGAGCGUUAAUCGGAAUUACUGGGCGUAAAGGGUGCGCAGGCGGUUUUGUAAGUCAGAUGUGAAAUCCCCGGGCUUAACCUGGGAAUUGCGUUUGAAACUACAAAACUAGAGUGUGGCAGAGGGAGGUGGAAUUCCAUGUGUAGCAGUGAAAUGCGUAGAGAUAUGGAAGAACAUCGAUGGCGAAGGCAGCCUCCUGGGUUAACACUGACGCUCAUGCACGAAAGCGUGGGGAGCAAACAGG
This 253-nucleotide ribosomal RNA is filed under the name uncultured prokaryote. RNAcentral describes it as "partial 16S ribosomal RNA". It matches the Rfam family "Bacterial small subunit ribosomal RNA", at positions 524 to 776 of the family's 1533-position model. The record is from RNAcentral.